Molecule: ribosomal RNA, 468 nt
Filed under: uncultured bacterium
Lineage: Bacteria
Description: partial 16S ribosomal RNA
Rfam family: Bacterial small subunit ribosomal RNA
Source: RNAcentral
GACGAACGCUGGCGGCGUGCUUAACACAUGCAAGUCGAACGGAAAGGCCCUGCUUUUGUGGGGUGCUCGAGUGGCGAACGGGUGAGUAACACGUGAGUAACCUGCCCUUGACUUUGGGAUAACUUCAGGAAACUGGGGCUAAUACCGGAUAGGAGCUCCUGCUGCAUGGUGGGGGUUGGAAAGUUUCGGCGGUUGGGGAUGGACUCGCGGCUUAUCAGCUUGUUGGUGGGGUAGUGGCUUACCAAGGCUUUGACGGGUAGCCGGCCUGAGAGGGUGACCGGCCACAUUGGGAAUGAGAUACGGCCCAGACUCCUACGGGAGGCAGCAGUGGGGAAUAUCGCACAAUGGGCGGAAGCCUGAUGCAGCAACGCCGCGUGCGGGAUGACGGCUUUCGGGUUGUAAACCGCUUUCGCCUGUGACGAAGCGUGAGUGACGGUAAUGGGUAAAGAAGCACCGGCUAACUACGUG